UACAGAGGUCCCAAGCGUUGUUCGGAUUCACUGGGCGUAAAGGGUGCGUAGGUGGUGAGGUAAGUCGGAUGUGAAAGCUCGGAGCUCAACUCCGAAAUGGCAUUGGAAACUACCUUGCUCGAGGGUUGGAGGGGGGACUGGAAUACUUGGUGUAGCAGUGAAAUGCGUAAAUAUCAAGUGGAACACCAGUGGCGAAGGCGAGUCCCUGGACAACUCCUGACACUGAGGCACGAAAGCUAGGGGAGCAAACAGG
This 253-nucleotide ribosomal RNA is filed under the name uncultured bacterium. RNAcentral's name for it is "partial 16S ribosomal RNA". It matches the Rfam family "Bacterial small subunit ribosomal RNA", at positions 524 to 776 of the family's 1533-position model. The record is from RNAcentral.